CGCAUGUCCUUGAAUCAGCUUUGCAAAAACACUCUUCUUCCUCAAAGUAUAAAUAUUGAUUUGCACAAUUGCCCCUUUUCAACUGAAAUAUGAAUCCUCAAAUUCAAUGCCCCAAUUUUAUUUUAUGACCAUGCACAUAGAGAAACAGGAAGGUGGCAUUUUAGGGUUAGAGUUUGAUGUGUAGUUGUUAGUGGCAAUAGCUUG
Molecule: unclassified non-coding RNA, 204 nt
Filed under: Hevea brasiliensis (rubber tree)
Lineage: Eukaryota; Viridiplantae; Streptophyta; Magnoliopsida; Malpighiales; Euphorbiaceae
Source: RNAcentral